This 557-nucleotide ribosomal RNA is filed under the name uncultured Methylobacterium sp. Its description in RNAcentral is "bacterial SSU rRNA". It matches the Rfam family "Bacterial small subunit ribosomal RNA", at positions 102 to 694 of the family's 1533-position model. The record is from RNAcentral. Lineage: Bacteria; Pseudomonadati; Pseudomonadota; Alphaproteobacteria; Hyphomicrobiales; Methylobacteriaceae.
ACGGGUGAGUAACGCGUGGGAACGUGCCUUCCGGUUCGGAAUAACCCUGGGAAACUAGGGCUAAUACCGGAUACGCCCUUAUGGGGAAAGGUUUACUGCCGGAAGAUCGGCCCGCGUCUGAUUAGCUAGUUGGUGGGGUAACGGCCUACCAAGGCGACGAUCAGUAGCUGGUCUGAGAGGAUGAUCAGCCACACUGGGACUGAGACACGGCCCAGACUCCUACGGGAGGCAGCAGUGGGGAAUAUUGGACAAUGGGCGCAAGCCUGAUCCAGCCAUGCCGCGUGAGUGAUGAAGGCCUUAGGGUUGUAAAGCUCUUUUAUCCGGGACGAUAAUGACGGUACCGGAGGAAUAAGCCCCGGCUAACUUCGUGCCAGCAGCCGCGGUAAUACGAAGGGGGCUAGCGUUGCUCGGAAUCACUGGGCGUAAAGGGCGCGUAGGCGGCGUUUUAAGUCGGGGGUGAAAGCCUGUGGCUCAACCACAGAAUGGCCUUCGAUACUGGGACGCUUGAGUAUGGUAGAGGUUGGUGGAACUGCGAGUGUAUAGGUGAAAUUCGUAGA